GCUAAAUACUCCUGAGAGACCGAUAGUGAACCAGUACCGUGAGGGAAAGGUGAAAAGAACCGUGAAUAACGGAGUGAAAUAGAUCCUGAAACCAUACGCUUACAAGCGGUCGGAGCCCUUUCGUGGGGUGACGGCGUGCCUUUUGCAUAAUGAGCCUACGAGUUACCGUUGCUGGCAAGGAUAAGUGUUUAAGACAUGGAUCCGUAGCGAAAGCGAGUCUGAAUAGGGCGCUAUAGUCAGUAG
This 243-nucleotide ribosomal RNA is filed under the name Flavobacterium macrobrachii. RNAcentral's name for it is "partial 23S ribosomal RNA". It matches the Rfam family "Bacterial large subunit ribosomal RNA", at positions 465 to 706 of the family's 2925-position model. The record is from RNAcentral. Lineage: Bacteria; Pseudomonadati; Bacteroidota; Flavobacteriia; Flavobacteriales; Flavobacteriaceae.